This 424-nucleotide ribosomal RNA is filed under the name Verrucomicrobiota bacterium. RNAcentral's name for it is "Verrucomicrobia bacterium partial 16S ribosomal RNA". It matches the Rfam family "Bacterial small subunit ribosomal RNA", at positions 355 to 776 of the family's 1533-position model. The record is from RNAcentral. Lineage: Bacteria; Pseudomonadati; Verrucomicrobiota.
UGAGGAAUAUUGGUCAAUGGACGAGAGUCUGAACCAGCCAAGUAGCGUGCAGGAUGACGGCCCUAUGGGUUGUAAACUGCUUUUGUUUGGGAAUAAUCGACAUUACGUGUAAUGUUUUGCAUGUACCAUUCGAAUAAGGACCGGCUAAUUCCGUUCCAGCAGCCGCGGUAAUACGGAAGGUCCAGGCGUUAUCCGGAUUUAUUGGGUUUAAAGGGAGUGUAGGCGGUUGGUUAAGCGUGUUGUGAAAUGUAGAUGCUCAACAUCUGACUUGCAGCGCGAACUGGCUGACUUGAGUACACACAACGUAGGCGGAAUUCAUGGUGUAGCGGUGAAAUGCUUAGAUAUCAUGAAGAACUCCGAUUGCGAAGGCAGCUUACGGGAGUGUUACUGACGCUUAAGCUCGAAGGUGCGGGUAUCGAACAGG